AGAGUUUGAUCCUGGCUCAGAUUGAACGCUGGCGGCAUGCUUAAUACAUGCAAGUCGAACGGUAACAUGCCCUCCGGGGUGAUGACGAGUGGCGGACGGGUGAGUAACGCAUAGGAAUCUACCUAGUAGUGGGGGACAACUUGGGGAAACUCAAGCUAAUACCGCAUACAUCCUACGGGAAAAAGAGGGCCUCUUCUUGAAAGCUCUUGCUAUUAGAUGAGCCUAUGUCAGAUUAGCUUGUUGGUGGGGUAACGGCCUACCAAGGCGACGAUCUGUAGCUGGUCUGAGAGGAUGAUCAGCCACACUGGGACUGAGACACGGCCCAGACUCCUACGGGAGGCAGCAGUAGGGAAUAUUGGACAAUGGGCGCAAGCCUGAUCCAGCAAUGCCGCGUGUGUGAAGAAGGCCUGCGGGUUGUAAAGGCACUUUCCAUUAGGAAGAAAAGCUCAAGGUUAAUAACCCUUGAGUCUUGACAUUAUCAAUAGAAAGAAGCACCGGCUAACUCUGUGCCAGCAGCCGCGGUAAUACCAGAGGGU
RNAcentral lists this ribosomal RNA (536 nucleotides) under uncultured bacterium. RNAcentral's name for it is "bacterial SSU rRNA". It matches the Rfam family "Bacterial small subunit ribosomal RNA", at positions 8 to 533 of the family's 1533-position model. The record is from RNAcentral.